Molecule: long non-coding RNA, 944 nt
Filed under: Parus major (Great Tit)
Lineage: Eukaryota; Metazoa; Chordata; Aves; Passeriformes; Paridae
Description: lncRNA (ENSPMJG00000018388.1)
Source: RNAcentral
AAGUACCGUUGCAAACUCCUUUUUAUUAGGCACCUGUAAUAAACAUGGAAGAAGACUUUCUGAAACAUGGGACCAUGGGAAAACCAUCCUUCAAAACCUGGAUAGUCACCAGUGGUAACUGCUUUAGACACACAAGUCUGCAGUUUUGUUUUCCAGGCAUUUUUUGCCUUUUUGUUUUAAUAGAAAUGGGAUGGCAAUUUUUUAUCAUAGCAAAAAAGCAUUUUUUUCUUAAAAUUGGAGGAAUAUUUUCCUAGUAUUCCAGCUUUCAUUUUCUUUUUCAUACUAGGUUUUAUGCAAAGACUUACCAGUGUGAAGUGCUGGAGUUGCAGGGACUGGUGCUUGCAGAAACAUGCAGAAUCCAAGCCAACUUGUAGAGAAUCCUUAAGUCCAUUCAGAGACCAAAGGGAGCACGCUGUUGCUGAUAAAGAGAGGAGGUUCAAAGACAAGGGGCUUCAUGGUGCUGUGAUUCUGUAUGAACACAAAGAGAGACAAGAAAUCACAGCAUUAGAAGAAGGAGGCAGCAAGGGUUCUCCCUCCUGCAACAAUUCUUCAUCCACAGCAGCUUCUGGAAGUGCUGUUUUGUGUCUCCCCUCAGCUUCCCAGAACUGUCCUACAGUUCAGACUGUCCUUAGCACAACAGGGUUGAGGAGCCUGUCCCAAGAAAGGAUUCCUGAUGGGAUAUUUCCUGUUCACAUUACUGUCUUUCUCAUGAGAAUCCACUGUCAGACCCCAUGCCUCCUUGUGGUCUCUGACAGAUGGUGGCAUCCAACUGGACCCUGACUGAGCAAAGUAAGGAGGAGUCAGUGACAUGAGACGAUACUGGUGGUGCUGGAGUGUGAGGCACAAUCCACAGCCAACACUCAUGUUACAAGAACUGCAACAAGAAAAAAAAAUACUUGUGUGAUUGCUUGUGGCCACUCCAAAUAAAAACAAUCAAGAAUGCA